AGAGUUUGAUCAUGGCUCAGAACGAACGUUAGCGGCGCGCUUAACACAUGCAAGUCGCACGAGAAAGGGCUUCGGCCCCAGUAAAGUGGCGCACGGGUGAGUAACACGUGGGUAAUCUUCCCUCGAGCGGGGGAUAACAUUCCGAAAGGAGUGCUAAUACCGCAUAAGACCACGACCUCGAAAGAGGUUGAGGUCAAAGCUGGCCUCUAUAUAUAAGCUAGCACUUGAGGAUGAGCCCGCGGCCCAUCAGCUAGUUGGCAGGGUAACGGCCUACCAAGGCUAAGACGGGUAGCUGGUCUGAGAGGAUGAUCAGCCACACUGGAACUGAGACACGGUCCAGACUCCUACGGGAGGCAGCAGUGGGGAAUCUUGCGCAAUGGGCGAAAGCCUGACGCAGCGACGCCGCGUGAGUGAUGAAGGCCUUCGGGUUGUAAAGCUCUGUGGGGAGAGACGAAUAAGUAGAAGCUAAUACCUUCUAUGAUGACGGUAUCUCCUUAGCAAGCACGGCUAACUCUGUGCCAGCAGCCGCGGUA
This 533-nucleotide ribosomal RNA is filed under the name uncultured Pseudomonadota bacterium. RNAcentral's name for it is "bacterial SSU rRNA". It matches the Rfam family "Bacterial small subunit ribosomal RNA", at positions 8 to 522 of the family's 1533-position model. Lineage: Bacteria; Pseudomonadati; Pseudomonadota. The record is from RNAcentral.